GAUGAACGCUGGCGGCGUGCUUAAUACAUGCAAGUCGAGCGAAAGGACGAGAAGCUUGCUUCUCUGAUGUUAGCGGCGGACGGGUGAGUAACACGAGGAUAACCUACCUAUAAGACUGAGAUCACUACGGGACACCGGCGAUAACACCGGAUAAUAUCUUGAUCCGCAUGGUUCAAAAGUGAAAGUCGGUCUUGCUGUCACUUAUAGAUGGAUCCGGGCUGCAUUAGCUAGUUGCUAAGGUCACGGGCUACCAAGGCAACGAUGCAUAGCCGACCUGAUAGAGUGAUCGGCCACACGGGAGCGUGGACGGCGUCCAGACGCCUGCGGGAGGCAGCAGUAGGGAAUCUGACGCAAUGGGCGAAAGCCUGGCGGAGCGGCGCCGCGCGAGAUAUGAAGGUCUUCCGAGCGUAAAACUCUGUUAUGAGGUGAGAACAUAUGUGUAAGUAACUGUGCACAGAGUGACGGUACCUGGUCAGAAAGCCACGGCUAACUACGUG
RNAcentral lists this ribosomal RNA (497 nucleotides) under uncultured bacterium. Its description in RNAcentral is "partial 16S ribosomal RNA". It matches the Rfam family "Bacterial small subunit ribosomal RNA", at positions 28 to 507 of the family's 1533-position model. The record is from RNAcentral.